ACAGAGCUAGCUCUCAGAGCAGAAGUCUUAUGUCCAUCCUUCCCCAGGCUUCAAUGACUCAAGCAUUUCUCUGCUGGUGACCACUCUCCUGUGGCUAUAGAACAGAAGUCCCCAAACUACCUCUGGCCACAUGCAGCCCCCUAAGACCAUGUAUCAGGGAGCCCCCCCCCCACUUCUGGAAGGGACACCUCUUUCAUUGGUGGUCAGUGAGAGGAGUCAUAGCUGUGUGGGGCAUCACUAACAUACAGUACUACUUCUGGUGACUUGAUCUUUUGCGGUGUCGUGGCGCCUUACAACAAGGCACCAUGCAAAGGAUUAUGUGGCUGCACUAUGGAAGAUGUUGCGAGACAUGGACACUGUACCGGAAGCACAUGAAACAGCUGGAGCAAUUCUACCAACGCUUGCUCCGGUCAAUCAUGAGGAUCCGAUGGCAGGACCGAAUCACCAAUCAGGAAGUCCUCGACAGAGCCAACUCCACCAGCAUCGAAGUCCUGGUCCUCCAAGCCCAGCUACGAUGGUCUGGACACGUCAUCCGCAUGGACCCACAGCGAAUACCAAGGCAGGUAUUCUAUGGUGAACUGUCAGCUGGACUCAGGAAACAAGGCCGACCAAAGAAAAGAUUCAAGGAUCAGCUAAAGUCCAACUUGAAGUGGGCUGGCAUUACACCAAAGCAACUAGAACUCGCUGCCUCUGUCAGAAGCAGCUGGCGAACCCACAUUCACCAUGCCGCCACCACCUUUGAAGAUGAGCGACGUCGACGUCUUGCUGCUGCAUGUGAACGCCAACACCAGGCCACAACCGCACCUCCCGUAACAACUGGCGUCCCAGGCCCCAUGUGCCACAAACUGUGCGCCUCAGCCUUUGGACUCCAAAGCCACAGGAGGGUACAUCAAUAGAUGAUAAUGCACAAAGACAAUAGUCAUUCUCGGACACUGAGAGACUACCACUACUACUUCCCUACUCACUAGGCUUUUACCUAUAGGGAAUCCUUUGCUAUCUUUCACCUGCACUAUUGUCUAUAAUGGUUUCUCUUUUCCAAUUUCUUCCCCCUCCAUUCCUUCCUCUGACCUUUUUCAAAUUGGUAUUCCUAAAAUACUACAGUGGCCUUGCCAGCUCCCAAGGUUCCCUUUUGCCUCCUAAGAUAAAAUUCAAAUUCCUCUUCCUCCCUCUGACCUUCCAGGCCUUAAUACUCUGUCUCCUCCCUUCCUUUCCAGGCUUGAAUAAUAUUCCCACAUCAGUUGUUUCAGCUCAAGCUGCAACUGCCUUGCAGUUGCCCCAUUGCUCAUUCCACCUUCUAGUGUACAAGCUCUUCCCCUGGUUUGGGAUACUCCUCUUCUUACCUCCACCACUCAGAAUGCCCAGCACCCUUCAAGACUCAGCUCACUCACCCCCUUCCACAGGAAAAGGCCUUUCUUUCCUAAGCUUCCAGCCCCAUUACAAAAAUUCCUUUAUUUACUUUUUCUAUGUGGGGUUCAGUUGGUCAUCAUGUAAACGUGCCCUUAUAGAAAUCUGUUUGGAAAUUUAAGGCUGCAUGUGCAUGUAAAGAAUAAAAGGGAAGGGGUAUAUAGGUAGCA
This is a long non-coding RNA of Monodelphis domestica (gray short-tailed opossum), 1574 nucleotides long. The record is from Ensembl. Lineage: Eukaryota; Metazoa; Chordata; Mammalia; Didelphimorphia; Didelphidae.